UACGGAGGGUGCAAGCAUUAAUCGGAAUUAUUGGGCGUAAAGGGCGCGUAGGCGGAUGUGCAAGUCAGGUGUGAAAUACCGAAACUCAAUUUCGGUGCUGCACUUGAAACUGCAUAACUAGAGGGUAGGCGGAGAAAACGGAAUUCCACAUGUAGCGGUGAAAUGCGUGGAUAUGUGGAAGAACACCGGUGGCGAAAGCGGUUUUCUAGCUUAUUCCUGACGCUGAGGCGCGAGAGCAAGGGGAGCAAACAGG
Molecule: ribosomal RNA, 253 nt
Filed under: uncultured bacterium
Lineage: Bacteria
Description: partial 16S ribosomal RNA
Rfam family: Bacterial small subunit ribosomal RNA
Source: RNAcentral